GAGAAGAAGAAGGUUAGCGAAUACAUGAUAACAAAUCCAAUUCGGUUGUCUGGUAGAGUCCAAUGAUGGUAAGGUAUUGCCAAAGCAAACAUGAACACUGUCAUGAAGAAGAAUCCCAUCAAUUGGAUGGCAAAUCUUCCCAUUUUGUCAAUGAAAGCCACUGUGAACCAGUACCCUGAUACCCUGGAACCGUGGUGCAAAGAGCAAUAAGAGUUUGUGCUCUAGCAAUUCUGUAGACCUCUUCAAUGGCAUUCAGGGUUUGACCCUGAGGAAUCCACCCAAUAGCACUGAAAAUA
RNAcentral lists this unclassified non-coding RNA (296 nucleotides) under Hevea brasiliensis (rubber tree). The record is from RNAcentral. Lineage: Eukaryota; Viridiplantae; Streptophyta; Magnoliopsida; Malpighiales; Euphorbiaceae.